Molecule: long non-coding RNA, 333 nt
Organism: Aricia agestis (brown argus)
Lineage: Eukaryota; Metazoa; Arthropoda; Insecta; Lepidoptera; Lycaenidae
Exons: 2
Source: RefSeq, a predicted model, not a curated record
AAUUAUAACCGAAACGAAUUAUAACAUUUGGCUUAUUACACGUACUAGUAUAAAACAUAUGCAACUCAAAACAAAGACGUUCAAAAACUGGGACAGCUAAGAAGAUGUACAGUCUGAAAAUCGCAAUCCUGCUAGUCUGCCUGCUGGUGGCCAUGGUAUCGGCCCAGGGCUGCCAGUCGGCGUGCGAGUCCAUCUACUCCCCAGUCUGUGCCUCCAACUACGUGCCCUACAGGAACGAGAUGUGCAUGCGUUGCAACGACCCCAGCUUGUAUGUGCUGUAUUAUGGUCCCUGCUAAGGUGUACUUGAUAGGGGAAUAAAUAAAUGAACAGAUA